RNAcentral lists this ribosomal RNA (253 nucleotides) under uncultured bacterium. RNAcentral's name for it is "partial 16S ribosomal RNA". It matches the Rfam family "Bacterial small subunit ribosomal RNA", at positions 524 to 776 of the family's 1533-position model. The record is from RNAcentral.
UACGUAGGGUGCGAGCGUUAAUCGGAAUUACUGGGCGUAAAGCGUGCGCAGGCGGUUGUGCAAGACCGAUGUGAAAUCCCCGGGCUUAACCUGGGAACUGCAUUGGUGACUGCACGGCUAGAGUGUGUCAGAGGGGGGUAGAAUUCCACGUGUAGCAGUGAAAUGCGUAGAGAUGUGGAGGAAUACCGAUGGCGAAGGCAGCCCCCGGGGCCUGUACUGACGCUCAUGCACGAAAGCGUGGGGAGCAAACACG